This 749-nucleotide long non-coding RNA is filed under the name Danio rerio (zebrafish). RNAcentral's name for it is "si:ch211-209a2.1, transcript variant 1 (si:ch211-209a2.1)". The record is from RNAcentral. Lineage: Eukaryota; Metazoa; Chordata; Actinopteri; Cypriniformes; Danionidae.
CUCUGUCUGGGAGAGCGUGCAGAGUUUCAAGGCGUCUGACUGAAAACUUGGGAAUUCUGUAAUCUCACCAUGUCGUUUGAAGGCCACCAUAACAAACAUAUGCAAUAUGGUUUCGGGUGACAUUUCAGGUCCUCCUGUGAACUGAAGGCACCAGAAUGGGAAAUGGUAUCAGACCUGGGAGUAUUCAUAAACUUAAACCUAAGAAAACCUAAAAGAUGAACGUCCACUAGAUGGUGCCGCACCCGUUUUCAUGCUGAUGGAGGACUGUUGGAGCUCCCAUAUGGCAGGACUAAAGAAGGAAUGGAGGUCUUCAAUCUUGCGCAGUUCUACAGUUUGAAAAAAAUGAAAGCGUUUCCUAACCAGGCUUUUCCAAGAAGGUGAGAGCCAAUCCACAUCUUUGGAUCACUUUCAAAGGGGGUCAGCCACUUCUCAUCACUGGCGAUCCUUAACGCAGUGAUCCUACAUCAGUGCCCUGUGAGACCUUUUGCAGGUCUUUUUGCUACAUAAGAUGCUUGCUGUCUUUAGGGCAACACUGUUUUAAUUGUAAACUGUUUCAAACCUGUUGUAUUGGCAUUUUAAAUCUGAACGCCGCUUUACUUUGUUUUUAACAGCUGGUGAGAAGUUUGGGCUGUACUGGAAGCCAUAAACCUUCCUUUGUGGCGAUAUAGGUUUGAUAAAGUAAUGUAUCAGUGUUUGUGUGCCAUUUAAUGUAGUAAUUAAUACAAUAAAGAUCCUGUCAUAAUGUUGUA